Molecule: ribosomal RNA, 751 nt
Filed under: uncultured Methylobacterium sp.
Lineage: Bacteria; Pseudomonadati; Pseudomonadota; Alphaproteobacteria; Hyphomicrobiales; Methylobacteriaceae
Description: bacterial SSU rRNA
Rfam family: Bacterial small subunit ribosomal RNA
Source: RNAcentral
CGCCCUUAGAGUUUGAUCCUGGCUCAGAGCGAACGCUGGCGGCAGGCUUAACACAUGCAAGUCGAGCGGGCACUUCGGGUGUCAGCGGCAGACGGGUGAGUAACACGUGGGAACGUGCCCUUCGGUUCGGAAUAACUCAGGGAAACUUGAGCUAAUACCGGAUACGCCCUUUUGGGGAAAGGUUUACUGCCGAAGGAUCGGCCCGCGUCUGAUUAGCUUGUUGGUGGGGUAACGGCCUACCAAGGCGACGAUCAGUAGCUGGUCUGAGAGGAUGAUCAGCCACACUGGGACUGAGACACGGCCCAGACUCCUACGGGAGGCAGCAGUGGGGAAUAUUGGACAAUGGGCGCAAGCCUGAUCCAGCCAUGCCGCGUGAGUGAUGAAGGCCUUAGGGUUGUAAAGCUCUUUUGUCCGGGACGAUAAUGACGGUACCGGAAGAAUAAGCCCCGGCUAACUUCGUGCCAGCAGCCGCGGUAAUACGAAGGGGGCUAGCGUUGCUCGGAAUCACUGGGCGUAAAGGGCGCGUAGGCGGCCGAUUAAGUCGGGGGUGAAAGCCUGUGGCUCAACCACAGAAUUGCCUUCGAUACUGGUUGGCUUGAGACCGGAAGAGGACAGCGGAACUGCGAGUGUAGAGGUGAAAUUCGUAGAUAUUCGCAAGAACACCAGUGGCGAAGGCGGCUGUCUGGUCCGGCUCUGACGCUGAGGCGCGAAAGGUGGGGAGCAAACAGGAUUAGAUACCCUGGUAGUCAAG